UGGCGGACGGGUGAGUAAUGUCUGGGAAACUGCCCGAUGGAGGGGGAUAACUACUGGAAACGGUAGCUAAUACCGCAUAACGUCGCAAGACCAAAGAGGGGGACCUCCGGGCCUCGCGCCAUCAGAUGAACCCAUAUGGGAUUAGCUAGUAGGUAAGGUAACGGCUUACCUAGGCGACGAUCCCUAGCUGGUCUGAGAGGAUGAUCAGCCACACUGGGACUGAGACACGGUCCAG
Molecule: ribosomal RNA, 235 nt
Filed under: uncultured bacterium
Lineage: Bacteria
Description: partial 16S ribosomal RNA
Rfam family: Bacterial small subunit ribosomal RNA
Source: RNAcentral